This is a long non-coding RNA of Oncorhynchus tshawytscha (Chinook salmon), 686 nucleotides long. The record is from Ensembl. NCBI's taxonomy places the organism in Eukaryota, Metazoa, Chordata, Actinopteri, Salmoniformes, Salmonidae.
CCCCUGUAUAUGACUGUAGGUCUAUAUCUAGCUACUGUUCUGUAUAUGACUGUAGGUCUAUAUCUAGCUACUGUUCUGUAUCUGACUGUAGGUCUAUAUCUAGCUACCCCCCUGUAUAUGACUGUAGGUCUAUAUCUAGAUACUGUUCUGUAUCUGACUGUAGGUCUAUAUCUAGCUACCCCCCUGUAUAUGACUGUAGGUCUAUAUCUAGCUACCCCCCUGUAUAUGACUGUAGGUCUAUAUCUAACUAUCCCCCUGUAUAUGACUGUAGGUCUAUAUCUAACUACCCCCGCUGUAUAUGACUUUAGGUCUAUAUAUAGCUACCCCCUGUAUAUGACUGUAGGUCUAUAUCUAGCUACUGUUCUGUAUAUGACUGUAGGUCUAUAUCUAGCUACUGUUCUGUAUAUGACUGUAGGUCUAUAUCUAGCUACUGUUCUGUAUCUGACUGUAGGUCUAUAUCUAGCUACCCCCCUGUAUAUGACUGUAGGUCUAUAUCUAGCUACCCCCCUGUAUAUGACUGUAGGUCUAUAUCUAGCUACUGUUCUGUAUCUGACUGUAGGUCUAUAUCUAACUACCCCCCUGUAUAUGACUGUAGGUCUAUAUCUAGCUACCCCCCUGUAUAUGACUGUAGGUCUAUAUCUAGUUACUGUUCUGUAUCUGACUGUAGGUCUAUAUCUAACUACCCC